GAUGAACGCUGGCGGCGUGCUUAACACAUGCAAGUCGAACGAAGCACUUUAUUUGAUUUCCUUCGGGACUGAUUAUUUUGUGACUGAGUGGCGGACGGGUGAGUAACGCGUGGGUAACCUGCCUUGUACAGGGGGGAUAACAGUUGGAAACGGCUGCUAAUACCGCAUAAGCGCACAGCAUCGCAUGAUGCAGUGUGAAAAACUCCGGUGGUAUAAGAUGGACCCGCGUUGGAUUAGCUAGUUGGUGAGGUAACGGCCCACCAAGGCGACGAUCCAUAGCCGACCUGAGAGGGUGACCGGCCACAUUGGGACUGAGACACGGCCCAAACUCCUACGGGAGGCAGCAGUGGGGAAUAUUGCACAAUGGGCGAAAGCCUGAUGCAGCGACGCCGCGUGAAGGAUGAAGUAUUUCGGUAUGUAAACUUCUAUCAGCAGGGAAGAAAA
RNAcentral lists this ribosomal RNA (444 nucleotides) under uncultured bacterium. RNAcentral's name for it is "bacterial SSU rRNA". It matches the Rfam family "Bacterial small subunit ribosomal RNA", at positions 28 to 451 of the family's 1533-position model. The record is from RNAcentral.